CUGAUGACCUUGCCUGAUUUUCCGAGAGGUGGUGCAUGGCCGUCGUCAGUUCGUACCGUAAGGCGUUCUCUUAAGUGAGAUAACGAACGAGACCCUCGCCGUUAAUUGCUAGUGUUCUCUCCGGAGGGCACGCACAUUAACGGGACCGCUGUCGCUAAGACAGAGGAAGGAGAGGUCAACGGUAGGUCCGUAUGCCCCGAAUCUCCUGGGCUACACGCGCGCUACAAAGGUUGGGACAAUGGGCUCCGACAUCGAAAGGUGAAGGCAAUCUCGAAACCCAAUCGUAGUUCGGAUUGAGGGUUGUAACUCACCCUCAUGAAGCUGGAUUCCGUAGUAAUCGCUUGUCAACAUCAAGCGGUGAAUAUGCCCCUGCUCCUU
Molecule: ribosomal RNA, 378 nt
Filed under: uncultured Thermoplasmatales archaeon
Lineage: Archaea; Methanobacteriati; Thermoplasmatota; Thermoplasmata; Thermoplasmatales
Description: bacterial SSU rRNA
Rfam family: Archaeal small subunit ribosomal RNA
Source: RNAcentral